This 221-nucleotide unclassified non-coding RNA is filed under the name Hevea brasiliensis (rubber tree). Lineage: Eukaryota; Viridiplantae; Streptophyta; Magnoliopsida; Malpighiales; Euphorbiaceae. The record is from RNAcentral.
AAAAAAAAAAAAAAAAAAUAGUAUGCAUACUUUCAUGGUAGGCUUAGAAUAGAAGAAGAGACUUUUGCUGAUUCUAAUUCAGGUUCAUCAUAUUUUUGAAACUGAAAUUGGUUAGUUCGAUAAUUGGUAGUUUAUCAUAACUAGUAUGUAUUGCUAGUUUAUUGGGUCAUUGUUUUAGCCUAUAUUUAAUCUGUUUAUGCUGGCAUGGUUGAAGCUGAAAG